GACGAACGCUGGCGGCGUGCCUAAUACAUGCAAGUCGAACGGUCUUUUCUAUGAAAGCUUGCUUUCACUGAAAAGAUAGUGGCGGACGGGUGAGUAACACGUGGGUAACCUGCCCAUAAGAGGGGGAUAACAUCCGGAAACGGGUGCUAAUACCGCAUAGUUUUUUUGGUCACAUGACUGAGAAAGGAAAGACGGCCUUUGUGCUGUCGCUUAUGGAUGGACCCGCGGCGUAUUAGUUAGUUGGGGAGGUAAUGGCUCACCAAGACGAUGAUACGUAGCCGACCUGAGAGGGUGAUCGGCCACAUUGGGACUGAGACACGGCCCAAACUCCUACGGGAGGCAGCAGUAGGGAAUCUUCCGCAAUGGAGGAAAGUCGGACGGAGCAACGCCGCGGGAGUGAAGAAGGUUUUGGGAUCGUAAAACUC
This 425-nucleotide ribosomal RNA is filed under the name uncultured bacterium. Its description in RNAcentral is "bacterial SSU rRNA". It matches the Rfam family "Bacterial small subunit ribosomal RNA", at positions 28 to 433 of the family's 1533-position model. The record is from RNAcentral.